AAUUUUGAUUGAAGAGCUUGUGCCAUAACC
RNAcentral lists this non-coding RNA (30 nucleotides) under Cricetulus griseus (Chinese hamster). The record is from RNAcentral. Lineage: Eukaryota; Metazoa; Chordata; Mammalia; Rodentia; Cricetidae.